RNAcentral lists this ribosomal RNA (380 nucleotides) under uncultured bacterium. RNAcentral describes it as "partial 16S ribosomal RNA". It matches the Rfam family "Bacterial small subunit ribosomal RNA", at positions 355 to 727 of the family's 1533-position model. The record is from RNAcentral.
UGGGGAAUAUUGGACAAUGGGCGAAAGCCUGAUCCAGCCAUGCCGCGUGUGUGAAGAAGGUCUUCGGAUUGUAAAGCACUUUAAGUUGGGAGGAAGGGCAUUAACCUAAUACGUUAGUGUUUUGACGUUACCGACAGAAUAAGCACCGGCUAACUCUGUGCCAGCAGCCGCGGUAAUACAGAGGGUGCAAGCGUUAAUCGGAAUUACUGGGCGUAAAGCGCGCGUAGGUGGUUUGUUAAGUUGGAUGUGAAAUCCCCGGGCUCACACUGGGAACUGCAUUCAAAACUGACUGACUAGAGUAUGGUAGAGGGUGGUGGAAUUUCCUGUGUAGCGGUGAAAUGCGUAGAUAUAGGAAGGAACGCCAGAGGAGAAGGCGACCA